AUGAACGCUGGCGGCGUGCCUAAUACAUGCAAGUCGAGCGAACAGACGAGGAGCUUGCUCCUCUGACGUUAGCGGCGGACGGGUGAGUAACACGUGGAUAACCUACCUAUAAGACUGGGAUAACUUCGGGAAACCGGAGCUAAUACCGAAUAAUAUAUUGAACCGCAUGGUUCAAUAGUGAAAGACGGUUUUGCUGUCACUUAUAGAUGGAUCCGCGCCGCAUUAGCUAGUUGGUAAGGUAACGGCUUACCAAGGCAACGAUGCGUAGCCGACCUGAGAGGGUGAUCGGCCACACUGGAACUGAGACACGGUCCAGACUCCUACGGGAGGCAGCAGUAGGGAAUCUUCCGCAAUGGGCGAAAGCUUGACGGAGCAACGCCGCGUGAGUGAUGAAGGUCUUCGGAUCGUAAAACUCUGUUAUUAGGGAAGAACAAAUGUGUAAGUAACUAUGCACGUCUUGACGGUACCUAAUCAGAAAGCCACGGCUAACUACGUG
This 496-nucleotide ribosomal RNA is filed under the name uncultured bacterium. RNAcentral describes it as "partial 16S ribosomal RNA". It matches the Rfam family "Bacterial small subunit ribosomal RNA", at positions 29 to 507 of the family's 1533-position model. The record is from RNAcentral.